CAGUCGCCGCGGUAAUACGAAGGGUGCAAGCGUUAAUCGGAAUUACUGGGCGUAAAGCGUGCGCAGGCGGUUAUAUAAGACAGAUGUGAAAUCCCCGGGCUCAACCUGGGAACUGCAUUUGUGACUGUAUAGCUAGAGUACGGCAGAGGGGGAUGGAAUUCCGCGUGUAGCAGUGAAAUGCGUAGAUAUGCGGAGGAACACCGAUGGCGAAGGCAAUCCCCUGGGCCUGUACUGACGCUCAUGCACGAAAGCGUGGGGAGCAAACAGGAUUAGAUACCCCGUAGUCCCUGUCUCUUAUACA
Molecule: ribosomal RNA, 301 nt
Filed under: uncultured bacterium
Lineage: Bacteria
Description: partial 16S ribosomal RNA
Rfam family: Bacterial small subunit ribosomal RNA
Source: RNAcentral